GCCCCGGCUAACUACGUGCCAGCAGCCGCGGUAAUACGUAGGGGGCGAGCGUUGUCCGGAAUUAUUGGGCGUAAAGGGUACGUAGGCGGCUUUUUAAGUUUGACGUGAAAGCCCGGGGCUUAACCCCGGCGAGCGUUAAAAACUUCAGGCCUUGAGUGGUAGAAGGGAUCGUGGAAUUCCUAGUGUAGCGGUGAAAUGCGUAGAGAUUAGGAAGAAUACCAGUGGCGAAAGCGACGAUCUGGAUACCAACUGACGCUGAGGCGCGAAAGCGUGGGGAUCAAACAGGAUUAGAUACCCUGGUAGUCCACGCUGUAAACGAUGAAUACUUGAUGUAGGAGGUAUCGACCCCUUCUGUGUCGAAGUUAACGUAUUAAGUAUUCCACCUGGGGAGUACGGCCGCA
RNAcentral lists this ribosomal RNA (401 nucleotides) under uncultured bacterium. Its description in RNAcentral is "bacterial SSU rRNA". It matches the Rfam family "Bacterial small subunit ribosomal RNA", at positions 490 to 890 of the family's 1533-position model. The record is from RNAcentral.